This 523-nucleotide ribosomal RNA is filed under the name Pseudomonas sp. RNAcentral describes it as "bacterial SSU rRNA". It matches the Rfam family "Bacterial small subunit ribosomal RNA", at positions 39 to 536 of the family's 1533-position model. Lineage: Bacteria; Pseudomonadati; Pseudomonadota; Gammaproteobacteria; Pseudomonadales; Pseudomonadaceae. The record is from RNAcentral.
AUCAACUGGAUGCGCAUGCUACACAUGCAGUCGAGCGGUAGUAGAGCAGAUGCUUGCUUCUCUUGAGAGCGGCGGACGGGUGAGUAAUGCCUAGGAAUCUGCCUGGUAGUGGGGGAUAACGUUCGGAAACGGACGCUAAUACCGCAUACGUCCUACGGGAGAAAGCAGGGGACCUUCGGGCCUUGCGCUAUCAGAUGAGCCUAGGUCGGAUUAGCUAGUUGGUGAGGUAAUGGCUCACCAAGGCGACGAUCCGUAACUGGUCUGAGAGGAUGAUCAGUCACACUGGAACUGAGACACGGUCCAGACUCCUACGGGAGGCAGCAGUGGGGAAUAUUGGACAAUGGGCGAAAGCCUGAUCCAGCCAUGCCGCGUGUGUGAAGAAGGUCUUCGGAUUGUAAAGCACUUUAAGUUGGGAGGAAGGGUUGUAGAUUAAUACUCUGCAAUUUUGACGUUACCGACAGAAUAAGCACCGGCUAACUCUGUGCCAGCAGCCGCGGUAAUACAGAGGGUGCAAGCUGUUAAC